GCACGCGUAGCUUAAAUUAAAGUAUAACACUGAAGAUGUUAGGAUAGACCCUAGAAAGUCUCGCAGGCA
Molecule: transfer RNA, 69 nt
Filed under: Schismatogobius marmoratus
Lineage: Eukaryota; Metazoa; Chordata; Actinopteri; Gobiiformes; Gobiidae
Description: tRNA-Phe
Rfam family: tRNA
About the family: Transfer RNA (tRNA) molecules are approximately 80 nucleotides in length. Their secondary structure includes four short double-helical elements and three loops (D, anti-codon, and T loops).
Source: RNAcentral